AAAUUCCUGGGGUGUGCGACACUCCCUUAAUUUUGAACCUACAUUUACUUUUAUGGGAUUCCUAUAUCGAACAGCGUAUGUCAGGCCUCCAUAGCAGUGGAAGGCAGAAACUGUUUCUGCGGAUACCCACCUAGCUUUGCUAGGAGUCAAAAUA
RNAcentral lists this non-coding RNA (154 nucleotides) under Candidatus Choladousia intestinigallinarum. RNAcentral describes it as "partial 6S RNA". It matches the Rfam family "6S / SsrS RNA", at positions 1 to 157 of the family's 187-position model. From Rfam's summary of the family: E. coli 6S RNA was the first non coding RNA to be sequenced, but its function was unknown until recently. Lineage: Bacteria; Bacillati; Bacillota; Clostridia; Lachnospirales; Lachnospiraceae. The record is from RNAcentral.